CAUUCCGAACUCAGAAGUGAAACGAAAUAGCGCCGAUGGUAGUGUGGGGCUUCCCCAUGUGAGAGUAGGACAUCGCCAGGCU
RNAcentral lists this ribosomal RNA (82 nucleotides) under Vibrio parahaemolyticus VPTS-2010_2. Lineage: Bacteria; Pseudomonadati; Pseudomonadota; Gammaproteobacteria; Vibrionales; Vibrionaceae. The record is from RNAcentral.